UCCCUGGUGGUCCAGUGGUUAGGACUUUGCACUGUCACUGCCGAGGGCUCGGGUUCGAUCCCCGGUCAGGGAA
This 73-nucleotide transfer RNA is filed under the name Balaenoptera acutorostrata scammoni. Its description in RNAcentral is "tRNA-Asp (GTC) (tRNA-Asp-GTC-12-1)". It matches the Rfam family "tRNA". Rfam says of the family: Transfer RNA (tRNA) molecules are approximately 80 nucleotides in length. The record is from RNAcentral. Lineage: Eukaryota; Metazoa; Chordata; Mammalia; Artiodactyla; Balaenopteridae.